Molecule: long non-coding RNA, 2909 nt
Organism: Uranotaenia lowii
Lineage: Eukaryota; Metazoa; Arthropoda; Insecta; Diptera; Culicidae
Exons: 3
Source: RefSeq, a predicted model, not a curated record
CUUCCUAAUAUAAAUAAUUCAAUUUUUCAAAGUCUGAUGUUUGUACUACUACUUCUACUAAGGGUUCGGCGCCGACUGACCGACGCAUAGGGCUGAGAAAAAAGAUCUCCACUGCUGGCGAUCCGGAGCCAGCGUCAUCACUUGCUGCCAGCCAAGGUUCUCGUCAACUGUGCGGAUUUCAGCGGCUAGACUUCGCCGCCACGAGCUUUUGGGCCUGCCUCUUCUUCCAUGCCCAUCUGGAUUCCAGUCAAGCGCCUCUCUGCAAAUCUCGUUUUCAUCUCUUCGCAGCGUGUGCCCAAUCCAUCUCCACUUACGUUCCCGAAUCUCGAUGUCCAGCGCUUUUUGAUGACACCGGCGAUGAAGCGCGGAUGAUGUUCCGCAGGCAGCGAUUCACAAAAACUUGCAGUUUUCGCGUCGUCACCGCAUAUGUGCACCAAGUUCCACACCCGUACAGCAAUACGGAUUUGACGUUUGAGUUGAAGAUUCGGAUCUUAGUUCGUAGAGAGGUCUGGCGUGAGCGCCAGAUGUUUCGGAGACUCGAAAACGCAAAUCGGGCUUUUCUGAUCCGGGUUUCGAUGUCCUUCUUGGUACCACCAUCAGGCGAAAUCUGGCUACCAAGAUAGUGGAAGCACUCCACUGUCUCAACCUGUUGUCCAGCUACCACGAAAUUGGAACAAUUUUCUGUGUUGAUUUCCAUCGACUUGGUCUUUCCGACAUUGAUUUUGAGACCUGCUGCCUUGGAGCUUUCGGUGAGGUCGUCGAGUUUGCUCUGCAUGUCUUGUUGUGUUUGGGCGAGCAAAACAAUAUCGUCUGCCAGGUCAAGGUCGUUCAGUUGCUCAAUUGCUGAAGGAAUCCACGGCAAUCCUCGGUUUGGUCUACAGUCAAUCGAUUCAGUCAAGAUCUCAUCCAUUACGAUGAGAAAAAGCAACGGUGACAAAAUACAUCCUUGUCUCACUCCAGCAGUUACCGGACAAGAUUGGUUCGGACAAGACACCGUCGUACAAGACCUUGCACGAAAAUGCCUCGUACUGUGCUUCGAUGAGAUGGACUAGUUUCUCUGGGACCCCUCGUCGUCUAAGAGCAGCCCAGAUGUUUUCGUGGUUCAGUCGGUCAAAUGCUUUUUCGAAAUCAACGAACACCAGCAGAAGAGAGUCCUGGAAUUUGUUGAUUUGUUCCAGUAUUAUUCCUAGCGUUGUGAUAUGGUCCACACAUGAUCGUCCGGAUCGGAAUCCAGCUUGUUGCCGUCGGAGUGUAGCGUCGAUUUUCUCCUGGAUCCUGUUCAGGAUCACUUUGCAGAGUACUUUGAGGGUUGUACAGAUCAACGUUAUGCCUCGCCAGUUACCGCACUCUGUCAGGUCUCCUUUCUUCGGGACUAACGAGCCUAUAAUAAACAAAAGAGACGAAAUGUCACGAUUGGAAUUUUCGAUUUUCUGUCAGUGUCAUUCCAAUCGAGCAAAAGACUUGUCAAACUGUAAAAUUUGGAAUUGCGAAAGCGGCUAAAGCGAUCAGUAUUAUCAUUCAAAUCUAUAAACAAAAGGUAAAUAACCAUAACACAGAUUUUGAAUGUUCGAUUUUGAUGGCAAGAUUUUCUAGGACUUAUUUCUUGGUGCUUAAUUGUAAAAGAUGUUGCCGGAUCAGCGGAGUCGAAAAGGGGAGGUUUACCUACGAAAUUCCCGGAGUCCAGACUAGAAUCCCCCGGAGUGCUUAGUGUGGUAGGAAUACAGAAGUUUGAAAUUGCUGAUUGGUAGAUAUAUCUGUCUAAUUUGUUGGCCAAAUCUAAGACGAAAAAGUAGUUGAUCCGAGUUUGAUGAAUCGGUUGGUGAAUCUUCGCCGCCAGAGCAGUCGUCUAUCCGCUAGUCUCAAUCUCAAUUCGAGCAAUCAAAUGAUAAGUACCACGGGGGGAUACGAAACGGUCAGCGAUGAAAGUAUCCCAUCAACCAAUUCUUUGCUUCGGAACAACCUGAAAGCCAGAAAGGACGGAAUUGAAUUUCAGCCCGCAAGAAAGAUGCCGAGAAAAUUCUAGACGAUUUGACGGAUCCCAUCGGUUCGGUUAAGAACAGUUCGAUCGAUGCUCUCGAGAUUGCGAAUGCGCCUUAGUUAAUGAAUGAUGAUUUUUUAGUGAAAUUUUAGUUAUUUUUAAUUCAAACAAUUAAAAAUUAAAAAAAAAUACUUACACUGCAGAGUCGACUACUAUCAGUGAUAUUAAAACUAGCCGGAAGCCCGCAGAAUGCGAGCCAUUCCUCUCGUUGUUUUGAUUCUGCCGGAAACCGGAAAAAAGAUAUAUUAUUGAAUCCGGGGCAGGUUUUGUUAGAAAAAUUUUUUGGCAAACACUUUAUGAUUGCACUUUUUGAUAGAUGACAAAGACAAAAAAAAGCUCAGUUAAAACAGCAGACUAGACCAAAACCACUUCCGAAAAGAUAAACGUAAUCAAAAUUGAAGUCAUGUGAAGUUUGCAGCAAAGCAGUGUUGCGCUCAAAUGACACCGGGGUUGCUAUAUGAUUUAUUUUCAAAAGGAUCAGAUUGCGACUCUUUUGUUUUUAAUACAGGCUCUUUAUUCGGGACCUUUACGAAGAUACCCUGCAUCUAGUCGGCCGGGAAUGUUGCAGUAUCCCAAAUGUCAGCGAAAAGACGGUGCAACAUGUUUGUGGUGCAUUCAGUAUCAAGAUAAUGAGUUAAAAAACUGGGAAUAUCUUAGUCAAAUAUCAAGUUAUUUACUGCAUAUUAUUAAUUGCUAGUUUGCAGAAAAUCUAUCCAAAACUAACACAAAAAAUAGAAAUAACACAUCUACGAUUCCAAAUGAAAGUCCUUCACCCAAACGAAAAAGGAACAAUGCUGAUCCACGAUCAAAAUAAGAUCUUAAAUCUACAACUGUUUGAAACUUUUAUAUAUUUUAUUCAAUGGAUAGUUUA